RNAcentral lists this signal recognition particle RNA (103 nucleotides) under Megasphaera sp. UPII 135-E. RNAcentral's name for it is "Bacterial signal recognition particle RNA". It matches the Rfam family "Bacterial small signal recognition particle RNA". Rfam says of the family: The signal recognition particle (SRP) is a universally conserved ribonucleoprotein involved in the co-translational targeting of proteins to membranes. Archaeal SRP consists of a 7S RNA and homologues of the eukaryotic SRP19 and SRP54 proteins. In most bacteria, the SRP consists of a 4.5S RNA and the Ffh protein (a homologue of the eukaryotic SRP54 protein). The record is from RNAcentral. Lineage: Bacteria; Bacillati; Bacillota; Negativicutes; Veillonellales; Veillonellaceae. RNAcentral also lists the same sequence under 1 other name.
UCGUUGGGGCCUAUGCAAUGAAAACCUAUGAACCUCGUCAGGUCUGAGAAGAAGCAGCGAUAAAUAGUUAUUUUUAUGUGCCAUGGGGAAACCUGGCGAAUUA